This 468-nucleotide ribosomal RNA is filed under the name uncultured bacterium. RNAcentral's name for it is "partial 16S ribosomal RNA". It matches the Rfam family "Bacterial small subunit ribosomal RNA", at positions 28 to 507 of the family's 1533-position model. The record is from RNAcentral.
GACGAACGCUGGCGGCGUGCUUAACACAUGCAAGUCGAACGGAAAGGCCCUGCUUUUGUGGGGUGCUCGAGUGGCGAACGGGUGAGUAACACGUGAGUAACCUGCCCUUGACUUUGGGAUAACUUCAGGAAACUGGUGCUAAUACCGGAUAGGAGCUCCUGCUGCAUGGUGGGGGUUGGAAAGUUUCGGCGGUUGGGGAUGGACUCGCGGCUUAUCAGCUUGUUGGUGGGGUAGUGGCUUACCAAGGCUUUGACGGGUAGCCGGCCUGAGAGGGUGACCGGCCACAUUGGGACUGAGAUACGGCCCAGACUCCUACGGGAGGCAGAAGUGGGGAAUAUUGCACAAUGGGCGGAAGCCUGAUGCAGCAACGCCGCGUGCGGGAUGACGGCCUUCGGGUUGUAAACCGCUUUCGCCUGUGACGAAGCGUGAGUGACGGUAAUGGGUAAAGAAGCACCGGCUAACUACGUG